Molecule: RNA transcript, 6391 nt
Organism: Triplophysa rosa
Lineage: Eukaryota; Metazoa; Chordata; Actinopteri; Cypriniformes; Nemacheilidae
Gene: snx7
Gene name: sorting nexin 7
Exons: 13
Source: RefSeq, a predicted model, not a curated record
GCGCACGCGCAGUGGAAGCACAUCCGCCUCAGCUGAGCCUCUGAGAGUUGUGCGGAAAAACCGAUGAAGUCCAGAAAUUUAUUACAAAGUAGCGAUUAGCACCACGAUGAGCGGAACGAUCGUAGACAACAAUGCGUCUUCUUUAUCAAUCCCGACAGACAUCGCCGGACACAUGUUAGAUCUAGACGACGACGAUGACUUGGAAGUUUUCAGUAAGGAUACGAGAGAAGGGAGCUCUUUUAACGCCUCCAUGCAGACCUCCCCUGGUUCAAUGAUCAACCAAUACAAGUUUGAGGAAGAAGAAGAAGACAUUGACACCAAAGACAUUUUUGUCACGGUUGAUGACCCUGAAAGUUAUGUGACUGCUAUAGAGACGUUCAUAACUUACAGGGUUGUGACCAAGACCACUCGGAGCGAGUUUGACUCGAGUGAGUUUGAGGUGCGAAGGCGAUACCAGGACUUCCUGUGGUUAAAGGCACGCCUGGAAGAGGCUCAUCCCACGCUAAUUGUUCAUCCACUACCAGAGAAGUUUGUGAUGAAAGGAAUGGUGGAGAGGUUUAAUGAAGAUUUCAUUGAGACGAGGAGAAGAGCGCUGAACAGGUUUCUGAACAGAAUAGCAGAUCAUCCGAUUUUCUCCAGCACUGAAGAUUUUAAGAUCUUUCUCACAGCAGAUGUCGGGGCCUUGACGUCUCAUAAGAAACAGGGUCCUGGGUUUCUCAGCAGAAUGGGGGAAUCUGUGAGAGGCCUCGCUGCCACCGUCAGAGGGGUCAGAAAUCGGCCGGAAGAAUUCACAGCCAUGCAGGAGUACGUAGAGGCCUUCGGACAGCAUAUCAGCUCACUCGAUAAAGUCACGCAAAGAAUCGUCAGAGAGCAGAAAGAGUACCUGGAGGAUCUGAAGGAAUGUGUGCCAACGUACACCCUGUGGUCAAACUCGGAGGAGGAGCUGGCAGAGCCCCUGAGGGGCAUGGCAAGCUGUCUGGAGAGAUGCUACAAAGAGACAGAGGAGCAGGUCAAAGAGCUCAAUGAUAACCUCAAUCCAACCCUUCAUGAAUACGUCCUCUGUACUGAGACGCUCAAGACGGUGCUCAGGAGGCGAGACAUCAUCCAGGCGGAGUUCGAGGCAAAGACCGAAGCCCUCCUCGCCAAGCAUGCCGACAGGGAAGCGGAUUCUAAGGUGCUGAGUUUAGCAUGGGACAACUUGGUGGGACGGUCCCCUGAGGAAGUCAAACAGCAGAAACAGCAAAAACUCGAAGUGGAGAUUACGGAGAUUAGGGAAGACUUGUACAAGAUGGAGGACAGGCUGGAGUGGGCGAAUAAUGCAUUAAAGAGCGACUGGACCCGCUGGAAGAAGGUCAUGAGAACUGAUCUACGAUCAGCCUUCAUGGACACGGCAGAGAAGAAUGUGAACUACUAUGAGAAGUGUUUGGCUGUAUGGGAGACAUUCUUGCUGUCUCAGAGAACAGAUGCUGAAGGAACUCAAGUGUUGGACUCUUCCUAAACUCCCAUGGUGCUUUUAGCUAAACGGUGGACCACCAAAAAGUCGCUUUUUUGUGCAGACGAACAGAGCCAAACACAUACCAAAAAAGGAACCACAGGCCUCUGCAAACCUAGACCCAGAAAGAGAUCUAUAAUAGAAAUGUGUUUUUCUCUCAUCAAUACGUUUGCCCCAAAGCACCUCCCUAAUGCUUUUUAUAAUGGGUUUAAAAAAUAAUAUUGCCAAAUGUUUUAUAUUGAGACAUUUCUCAAGUUCAAAUCAUGAGAUUGGGUUUCAGGGCAUGAGAAGAAUAAUGCAAUUCAUGAAAAAUGAGGAUGCAUGCAUCCUGGCUUUAUUGCUUCAUCUGACCUUUAUAUCGUGGUUUCACUAAGGAUUUAAUCUAUAUGAUUUUUUUAGAAUAUGUCCUGCCCUUUUUACAGAUCAAUGCAAAAUCUGUUUACCUUUUAUCAGAGCUGCCUCACCUCAAAAACUUUCCUAAAUAUAAAUGCAUACGGAAAGAUGCAUUUUGUGCGUUGGGAUGAAUUUUAUCAUUGCAUUCUUCAAGGAUGAUCCAAAAAUUAUAUAUUUUUAAAAAGCCGACAUUCCAAAAUGGUUUACAUUUGACAGUGCAUUAAUUUAGCAUCAAUAGAAUUUAAUUAUUGCCAAAGAAUAUGAAACAAGCUAAUCAACAUUAAUGGUAUGAUUUUAAUGCUAUGCACUAAUGUCUGUAAUUCAAUUGCAAACUGACUUGAAAUACUUACAGCACGGUGGUGAAAUGUUUUUUAUUAAAUUAACUUGCAACUUACAAUGAUGUAUUUUGUUGGAUAACUGUUGGAUAUUCUCUCUCAAGGGAGACUGAGCAAACAGCUGCAUGAUGGAUCCUAAAGUAGGUUAUCACAGCUGAAGUGUAUUAAACGCAAAAAAAACUUGCUUUAAAUGAAAGUUUGGAGGGAAUCUGAUUCAUUAAAGAAGCAGAAUUCUGUCAAACUGGCAACCAUAUCGCUGCUUAACGCCAAUGUAUUUAAAACACAUAUGAAAUCAUUGGCAGCUUUUGAACUACAUCACAUUUCAUGUCCAUGUCUUGUAGCAAAGCCUAUUGUUUCGUCGCAUCCUUCAAAACCCUCUGGCUGGAAACCCUUAGCGUUUUGCUGAGCUAACACAUUUUAUGAACAAACAAUUUUUUUGAGUCACGAUCUGUCCAUGUGUACAAACGCCUGGAAUGGCACAAUUAAGAGAACCCCCCCCCCAGAUUUUUCAAUUACAGUCAUAAAAACAUGCUUUCCAAAAAACCCGAGGUGUUGGAAAGCAACACCAUGUUGUCUUGAACUGGAAAAAGCCAAUUUAGGAGAUUCUCCUCAGCAAUAAUUUGCUAUCUUUGAAUGGAAAAUACAUUGGGAAGUUUAGCUGGGAAGAAUCUGCCCCGCUUUGGAUUUUCCUCAUUGUGAGAUGGGAAGUUCAGACAUAUUUUUCGUUUUUUUACAUAAUAAGUAGCCUAAGUGAUGUCUCCUAAUAUGUCCCCAUUUGCUCUUAUUCCUGUCUAGUGAAACAUAUUAAGUGUUACAUAGAACAAAAUAACAAUAGUUUGGCACAUAGAAGUUCUAUUCUUGUUAUGUUUAGAAGUGGGUCGACCCGCUCAACAUGCGUCACCUUAGAAGUUAAUGUAAUGUAUCCAAGUUCCUGGUUACUGUUGUGUAUCGUGUGUGUGUGUGUAUGUAAUUAUAGCAUUAGGUGUGAACCAGACCAUGUCAACCCACAUAGAGGAACCGACAAGACAAACGUGUGCCAACAUGCAGCUCACUGAAAACAAACGGAUAAGAAGAAAGAGUGAGAAGAGAGAUCAGUGCUGUCCUUGGGAAGAUAAUGGAAUGAACGAUGAUGAAUUUCACGAAUGCCAAAUGGCUAAACAGAAAGUUCUGCACAAAUGUCGUUAUUUGGACCAAAGGAACAUAAUUUUGUCCCCCAAUUUAUUUGUCCAGUCGAGGUCUGACACGUCCGUAACAAAUGAUUCAUCGGACGGAGCAAACAGAAGAUGGAAAGCAUCUCAGCGAAGCAUCCCUUCUAAACGUUCUGCCAACCCAGGCUUGAUUCUUACCAGAACUGUUGCACUGAACCACAGCGUACCCAUAAAUCCAAGUGAUUCCACUGACUCAAUGACCCAGAAACAAAAUAUUGUUUUUUGCGAGAACUCAACGCCUGUAUGUCUUAUAGGGGUGAGUGAAGCACUGCCAAUGAUAGAGUGGAUUCAAACAUCAUCUCAUGUGCAACCAAGUGAAGAAAUGGCUGGGCGGCACGUCGAAUCUGUCUCGGCGAACCAUGCAACAAGAAGCCCUCAACCUGCAUGGAAAAGGGCAUCUGUUCAUAGACUGGAAUGGUGUCACGAGUGCCCGGCAAAGGUGGCCCAUCUGGGUUCAUCAUCAUUGGCUGCCAAUGGCCCGUACGCAGCCAGACUCAGGGUGAUUCGGAGGGUCGCCCGGGUAAGUGGAGGUUAUAGAGCCGCUGCGGUGCAGAGCGGUCACGUGGAAGAAAAACUGUGCCCUUACAGACUACCAGAUCAUCACAACGCCCUGCACAAAAGCUGUUAUCAAACUGGCAACCAAAUAUGUCUCUGUAGCUCUUUCCAACCACGGGCAAGACACAGUCCAGGUGUCCAGAGAGACCAGAGAGACGCUACGCAGAUCCUUGAAAAGACAGAGCAAGGACAGAAACGAGAGUUUUCAGAGGUGAUCAAAGUGAUGGACACACAAUGUCAGUCAGGAUGGCCGAGGACCGCUGAAACCCCUCCUUCUCCACACCACGUCACUUUCUCUCAUAUUCUACAGGUCCUGCAGAGCAAACCAGCCAAUUUCCCAGAGGUCAGGGGCCAGAGACGCCACAGGGCCCUUUAAACGCCACUGAGAGCAUUCAAUAUAUGAUGUCCUUCAUUUUAUAGUCUGUACACAUCAGUGAAGUGCCGCUUAAGAAUGUGCCACAGGGGACUGGAAUAUAUUUUUUAUUCCAACUUUAUAUUCCAUCGUCUGUACAGUGCGAAAGGUCAUGAAUUCAAGAAAGCCCUGAAUGAAAGGACUCAAAGAGAUGGAUUCACAUAUUUUGAUUCACUAGGAAAUCCAUCAACGGCAACCAAGUAAACCAACCAUGGGAGAAGAAAUAUAUGGGAAUACAACAAAACAUGUGCAAGCUAUAAAAUAGACCAUGAUCAAAUAACAUAAAUAUAAACACUAUUAAAAACACUUAUUCAGUAAGUAAUUCAGAGUGUAAUACAGCUAAGAUUUAAAGAAUAAGAAUGAUGAUAAAUAUAGUACAAUAUGUACUUACAGUAUGCCAUUAUACACCCGUACACUCACGCUAACAGCACAAACAUAAGAAAAUAAAAACAUGAAUCAUUUUCUGACAAAAAAUAUAUAAUAUGCAUUUACACCAUGUUUGUUUUUCAUUUUAAUACUGUUGCAGGUGCUAUGAUCAUUUUAACGCUUAUAGCAGGAUCUAAAAAUCCUCAUUAUUAUUAUUAUUAUUUUGAUUUUUUUAUGUGUUUGCAUGUAAACAUGCAGCUAUGUCUUGUGUAAGGACGUGUGAUAAGAGCUCUUGCAAUAAUAUACUAGAUUAUUUCACAACAAUAUUCUACAUGAUAAAAAAUACAUAUCGCUGCUGUCCCUCUGAAACCUUGUAUCUCCAUAUUUGAUGAUUUUCAUUUUUGGCAUAAAUCAUUAUCAUUAAUCACCACUGGGUUUUGCAAAUAUCUAACCAAUAAAAAGUGCUUGUCAACUUUGACAGCACAGUAUUUAAUCAGUGUUUUUACCAUUUUACGAAAAACAUGGAGAUCCAAGGUUUCGGAAGGACAGAGACGAUAUCAUUUUAGGGGAGGCCAAAUAGAUGAGUUUCUCAUGAGAUACAGACGAUCAAAUGUUAUUGCUCUUUUAAGAAUUGGUCACAUGAAUUUAUGAAACUGAGAACAAUCAUUUAUGUGUAUAAAGCACCAGAAGACUAACGCCUUUAAAGAAAUGUACAAGUUAUUUCCAACUUAAUUUAGUAAUGCACAGACAAUCAUUUUCGACUUCCCACAGUCGUAACACCAAACAAAAAUGUGAUUACAGUAAAGCAAAAGCUUAGCAGACAAAUAAACCAGAACACUUAAACCUUAAUGGUGUUACUGACAUCAUACUCUUUAUUACAGUUUGCAUAUUAUGUGAAUAUAAAUACUGAAUUUGUGCAUACAACAAAGCCAACUGAUUUUUUUUCCUUUUAGUUUUAGAGGGAUGAUUCGAAAUGAUCAUCUGUGUUGAAAAUAACCUGGAGUAUUUCUCUAAAGUCACAUGACUUAAAUGUAGAGGGUCAGAAUUUACUGUUAUAAAACAACAAAAAUGCAAGUGACUUAUUUUAUACGACAGCUUUUUCUAUUUUUCAGUACACAUGAGGUAUCGUGGUUUGUUUCAGAGAUCACAGCAGGAUUCUUUCUGACUCGUUCCUUUAACAUUUCGGACAUCUACCCACUAUUAUGUUGGCCAUUAAAACAGUGAACGUCUAUGUCGCGGAGGGUAAAUGGACGGACCCAUUACUUUAGUGAAAUGGCUUGUGAUUGUCUUUGCAGAUGAUUCAUUCUUCACAGCGGGGUGAGCCAAGAUCCUCAGGGUUCACACGUAGCUUUACUGGGCCCAUUACGAUGCCCAUCGGCCUCUGUGUGAAAUUGAGUCACGGCUCAUGAAUGAUCAAACCGAUGCUGUUUUUAUGCUGCCAGUACAGUGAGUUGACUGUACUCGAGUUUAUAUAAGCUUUGGUAUUUUUUAUGUAAGCUUUCAAUGUAUAUUUUAGUUGAUAUUAGAUUUUUGAGCACACUGUGUAUUUACAAAUGCACUCAUCCAAUGCAAGCAAUUAACAAGAAACAUAUUCAUAUAGGAAUGAAAACACUUUCUGGUGUAUUUGGAU